UACGGAGGGUGCAAGCGUUAUCCGGAUUCACUGGGUUUAAAGGGUGCGUAGGUGGGUCUGUAAGUCAGUGGUGAAAUCUCCGGGCUUAACCCGGAAACUGCCAUUGAUACUAUAGGUCUUGAAUUUUCUGGAGGUCAGCGGAAUAUGUCAUGUAGCGGUGAAAUGCUUAGAUAUGACAUAGAACACCAAUUGCGAAGGCAGCUGGCUACAGGAACAUUGACACUGAGGCACGAAAGCGUGGGGAUCAAACAGG
Molecule: ribosomal RNA, 253 nt
Filed under: uncultured bacterium
Lineage: Bacteria
Description: partial 16S ribosomal RNA
Rfam family: Bacterial small subunit ribosomal RNA
Source: RNAcentral